CACGGCAGUAGAAGAGUCAAGGUGACAGGGCUGGCUGUAAACCGGUCCACGGCAGGUUCGAUUCCUGCUGCUGCCAC
This 77-nucleotide transfer RNA is filed under the name compost metagenome. RNAcentral's name for it is "tRNA-Tyr". It matches the Rfam family "tRNA". Rfam says of the family: Transfer RNA (tRNA) molecules are approximately 80 nucleotides in length. Their secondary structure includes four short double-helical elements and three loops (D, anti-codon, and T loops). Further hydrogen bonds mediate the characteristic L-shaped molecular structure. tRNAs have two regions of fundamental functional importance: the anti-codon, which is responsible for specific mRNA codon recognition, and the 3' end, to which the tRNAs corresponding amino acid is attached (by aminoacyl-tRNA synthetases). tRNAs cope with the degeneracy of the genetic code in two manners: having more than one tRNA (with a specific anti-codon) for a particular amino acid; and 'wobble' base-pairing, i.e. permitting non-standard base-pairing at the 3rd anti-codon position. The record is from RNAcentral.